This 1282-nucleotide long non-coding RNA is filed under the name Medicago truncatula (barrel medic). RNAcentral describes it as "long non-coding RNA (MTRU_LNC006341)". The record is from RNAcentral. Lineage: Eukaryota; Viridiplantae; Streptophyta; Magnoliopsida; Fabales; Fabaceae.
AAAAAUAUACAGAGGUUCAUCUUAGAACUCUAACCUAAAAAGAUUUAGCUACACAUGGUAACUAAAAACAAAUUACUAAAGAUAAAACAUACCCUAGAAAAUCAAGGAGAAGAUAGAAACUCUCCUGAAGCUCCAAAGUUGCCUUCCUCUUGAACUGCCACAGUUCUGAACGAGAAAUUCUGAAUGAGGAAGUCUGGUUUUAUAGUGAGAGCUUCGACCUGAGUUUGGGCUAAAAGUACGGGCUUUACCCAAAACGGAAGCAGGAAAAGACAGCUGUCCCCUGACUUUUUGCAUGCACGAGGUGCAUGAGAGUAGAGCAAUUUUCAUGCCCUAGGCGCAUGGAUUGCUAAAUUCAUGCCCUAGGCAUUUUUUCCAUGCCGUAGGCGCAUUCUGUCUCUCUUCCGGGCCCAAUCUCCAAUUUAGGUAUUCGUCUUCAAAUAACUUGUCUCGGUACUUUGGGAACAAAAUUCCUCCCAUUUGUAAGUCUUCUAAGGCCUCUUGAAUCUUUAUUAUUGUUUCUUGAAUCUUCACAAUUCUUCAUAUGUUCUUGAUUUGCUGAUUUACAUGAUUUCUUCAUGAAUUACUUGAAAAACCCUCUAAAAUUGCUAUGUUUCGGGAAAACCAUAAUUACAGACUCAAAUAUAAAAACCAUUACAAAAGUCCCAAAAUCAUAGACAAUCGUUCCAAUACUCCUCCUUUUUGUUGCUAAAACCUACUAAAAAUAAAUGAAAAAUAUGCUAAAAAUAACGUAAAAUGAUCUGUCAUCAGGCCCCUAAAAAAAUUGUCUCUAAUAAAAGAAGGAAAAUCAGUCAUCUCCAUAGACCCUUGAAUUGUAUGACUAUGACGAGCAAAUACUCCAUCGUUGGGGAGUGGAGGAUGGUGCACCCUUAGAAUGGGUUAUGUAAGCAUCUAUCUUGUGUUGUUGUUUUUGUUUCUUUGUCAAAUAAGGAGUGAAAGGAGGUUCAGUUUCAUUUUCUUGCAUAUCACGAAUUUGCCUCUUUUGAUAUCCUUCAUAACCUUUUUCAAGUAAGAAUCUUUAUCUUGAGUUGCCUUAAUGUCGUCCACCAAAGAAGAACGAACUUCAACAUGUACUAAAAGUGACUAUCUAUUUAUGGUUUCAAACUCUAUUCCACUAGCAAGAUUCUAAAAUUCCUUCACUAUUGUCCUCCUAAUUCCAGCAAUGUGUGCAAAAGUUCCCAUAGGUUUUCUACUCAAGGCAUAUCAACAGCCACAUUUGAUGUAUUUAAGCUCCACCCUAUAGUCCUCCAAUCCUUUUUUGUUU